This 391-nucleotide unclassified non-coding RNA is filed under the name soil metagenome. RNAcentral describes it as "partial contains 5.8S ribosomal RNA, internal transcribed spacer 2, and large subunit ribosomal RNA". The stretch from base 1 to 122 matches the Rfam family "5.8S ribosomal RNA", at positions 35 to 154 of the family's 154-position model. The record is from RNAcentral.
GAUGAAGAACGCAGUGAAAUGCGAUACUUGGUGUGAAUUGCAGAAUCCCGUGAACCAUCGAGUCUAUGAACGCAAGUUGCGCCCGAAGCCAUUAGGCCGAGGGCACGCCUGCCUGGGCGUCACACGUCGUUGCCCCCCCAUCUACUCCUUCGGGAUUGCGGGGGGCGGAUGAUGGCCUCCCGUGCGCCUCGUCGCGCGGUUGGCAUAAAUGCCAAGUCCUCGGCGACGCACGCCACGACAAUCGGUGGUUGCGAAACCUCGGUUGCCCGUCGUGUGCGGUCGUCGCGCAUCGAGGGCUCGAAAAAAUUGCCGGGCUCCGGCUCGGCUUUCAACGCGACCCCAGGUCAGGCGGGGUUACCCGCUGAAUUUAAGCAUAUCAAUAAGCGGAGGA